RNAcentral lists this unclassified non-coding RNA (211 nucleotides) under plant metagenome. Its description in RNAcentral is "partial contains small subunit ribosomal RNA, internal transcribed spacer 1, and 5.8S ribosomal RNA". The record is from RNAcentral.
UUUCCGUAGGUGAACCUGCGGAAGGAUCAUUCAUGAUAAAGUGUUUUAUGGCACUUUUUAAAAAUCCAUAUCCACCUUGUGUGCAAUGUUAGAUCUCGUCAAUCUUGGCGAGAUUUUUAUACAUCAACUCAUUCUUCAACUAAUUUGUCUGAAAAAUAUUAUGAAUACUUAAUUCAAAAUACAACUUUCAACAACGGAUCUCUUGGCUCUC